RNAcentral lists this ribosomal RNA (240 nucleotides) under uncultured Piloderma. Its description in RNAcentral is "partial 28S ribosomal RNA". It matches the Rfam family "Eukaryotic large subunit ribosomal RNA", at positions 1 to 236 of the family's 3401-position model. Lineage: Eukaryota; Fungi; Basidiomycota; Agaricomycetes; Atheliales; Atheliaceae. The record is from RNAcentral.
UUGACCUCAAAUCAGGUAGGACUACCCGCUGAACUUAAGCAUAUCAAUAAGCGGAGGAAAAGAAACUAACAAGGAUUCCCCUAGUAACUGCGAGUGAAGCGGGAAAGCUCAAAUUUAAAUCUGGCGGUCUUGCGGCCGUCCGAGUUGUAAUCUGGAGAAGCGUUUAUCCGCGUCGGACCGUGUACAAGUCUCUGGAAGGGAGGUCGUAGAGGGUGAGAAUCCCGUCUUUGACACGGACAA